Molecule: ribosomal RNA, 253 nt
Filed under: uncultured bacterium
Lineage: Bacteria
Description: partial 16S ribosomal RNA
Rfam family: Bacterial small subunit ribosomal RNA
Source: RNAcentral
UACGAAGGGGGCUAGCGUUGCUCGGAAUCACUGGGCGUAAAGCGCACGUAGGCGGAUCUUUAAGUCAGGGGUGAAAUCCCGAGGCUCAACCUCGGAACUGCCCUUGAUACUGGGGAUCUCGAGUCCGGAAGAGGUUGGUGGAACUCCGAGUGUAGAGGUGAAAUGCGUAGAUAUCGGGAGGAACACCUGUGGCGAAGGCGGCCCCCUGGUUGGAUACUGACGCUGAUACGCGAAAGCGUGGGGAGCAAACAGG